RNAcentral lists this long non-coding RNA (1788 nucleotides) under Anolis carolinensis (green anole). RNAcentral's name for it is "lncRNA (ENSACAG00000036304.1)". The record is from RNAcentral. Lineage: Eukaryota; Metazoa; Chordata; Lepidosauria; Squamata; Anolidae.
AUGUACGUUGCCUUAGAUUCUCAAAGUGACACCUCCCUAGCAACACCUGAAUUCUUUAACAUCUUUCAAAUUCAAUCAAAAGAGGUAGAAUACGUUAUGACUACUUGUGGUGGAGAUCAGGUCAUGGUGGGGAGAGUAGCAUCUGGAUUCAUCCUCCGGACUAUUGAUGGCAUGAAACAAUUUAGGUUACCAACGUUCAUAGAAUGCCAAAAUAUACCUAAAGAUGAAAGACAAAUCCCUACAAGAGAAAUAGCUAUGAGUCAUGCACACCUAAGAUCCAUGGCACAUAAGUUACCAAGAUUCGACCCUGGCGCAAAGAUUCUUUUGCUUAUUGGCAUAGACUGUCCAGACUUGUUUUCAGUUAAGAAGCAAAUAAAAGGUCGACCAGGAGCACCAAUAGCUCAAGAACUAGAGAUAGGCUGGACUAUCCUAGGUCCAGUAUGUUUAAACCGCAAAAGGUUGCCUUCCCAUGCUCGAACCUUUUGUACAAGCUUCAUGCCAAAUGGACGUCCUACACAGAUGUUAGAUUGUCGAAAUCACAUCCAGAUACGUUUCCAAAACACCGAGAGUUCAGAAUCUUCAGUAUUUAGGACUACAGUUCAUGAUAUUCUAAUAGUUUUGUCCAAAGAAAAUAAUCAACAGGAGGAACUUCUUGUAGGUUUCCUCUCAUAUGCAAACAGUGUUAGCACUCCAGAACCAGCAGACAAGUCAUAUAUUAUUGAAUAUGAAGAAAGCAAUCAUAUCGAUAAUAGAAGUUCAGAGCAACCUAGUACUUCAAGAUCUGUCAUAAAAGAAGAUGAAAUUGAAGAUAUGUCCACAUCGCAGAUUGCACUUCAAACCAAUUCCUCAACUCAGAGGGCAGAAUCAGAUAUACCUUUUGACCAUCUGGAAGCUCAAGCGUCUGUACAGCAAGCUAUAGAUGCUGCAAUGAUAUCUCCAAUAGUGCAACCACCCACCAAUGUUGGUGUCGACAUUUUCGCCCUACCAGCAAAGGUUACCAAAGAAGAAUGGAUGGCUGAUCACAAAGAGAGUAUUAAUUGUCUAAAUUAUAGCCAAGUACAACUUCAAAAGGACAGUGAGCAUAAUAUAGAUGGCCACAAGAACACUGGAAGUGAUCCUGCGUUAUCACAAAUGAUAGUGAGUCAUACAAAUUUCCACCCUGAUGGAUCAGAUAUGUGUAAUCAUUUGCAAGCAAAAUAUAUGACCUCACAGGCUACCACCAAUCAAUUAAGAGCUGAGCUUGCCAAAGAACCCCGAGAAGUUGCUGUAUAUGAGCAAGAACUUCAAAAACCUUCGGAGACAAAGUAUCAACUUGAAGAAGCUCAUGGUCAGCUAAAAGAGCAGAAACAAUUAUCUAGUAAAAGGCUAUUGGUCAAAGAACAGCAGGUUGCUGAUCUUCAAAUAAAGCCUUCAUAUUCUGAGGAGAAGCUAAAGGAGAUAGCAGCAGUUGUAACCAAACUGCAGCAACAGCUAAAUGGAGUGAAGCAGCAGUGCCAGGAUGAGCGGAGCUUUCGAAAGAGUGCCCAGCAGAGAGCGAAGGUGUUGGAGUUGAGACAAGAGCUUGUACCAGUCCAGGGGAGCCUGAACGGGUGUUGCAGCGUCGCAGAGGACAGGUUUGCCUUCCAUGUUCCAGAAUUAAAGGUAAGCUUUGACCGAAGAGGAUUUAGUCCACAUGAAGGAGGAUCGCAAGGUCAUCAAAGUGUUGGACUUUGGAAGGCCAACCACAUACUUCAUCCCGCCAUUUCAUCCAGAUCAAUCUGCAGAGAUUGUAGGAGAGCUGAAGGAUGA